CCUACGGGCGGCUGCAGUGGGGAAUAUUGCACAAUGGGGGAAACCCUGAUGCAGCGACGCCGCGUGAGUGAAGAAGUAUUUCGGUAUGUAAAGCUCUAUCAGCAGGGACGAGACACGACGGUUCCUGACUACGAAGCGCCGGCUAACUACGUGCCAGCAGCCGCGGUAAUCCGGAGGGGGCAAGCGUUAUCCGGAAUCACUGGGUGUAAAGGGAGCGUGGACGGCUGAGCAAGUCUGAAGUGAAAGGCGGGGGCUCAACUCCCGGACUGCUUUGGAAACUGGACGGCUGGAGUGCAGGAGAGGUAAGUGGAAUUCCUAGUGUAGCGGUGAAAUGCGUAGAUAUUAGGAGGAACACCAGUGGCGAAGGCGGCUUACUGGACUGUAACUGACGUUGAGGCUCGAAAGCGUGGGGAGCAAACAGGAUUAGAUACCCUGGUAGUC
RNAcentral lists this ribosomal RNA (441 nucleotides) under uncultured bacterium. Its description in RNAcentral is "partial 16S ribosomal RNA". It matches the Rfam family "Bacterial small subunit ribosomal RNA", at positions 338 to 795 of the family's 1533-position model. The record is from RNAcentral.